Molecule: small RNA, 106 nt
Filed under: Bacillus sp. CECT 9360
Lineage: Bacteria; Bacillati; Bacillota; Bacilli; Caryophanales; Bacillaceae
Description: BsrF
Rfam family: BsrF
Source: RNAcentral
GCGAUGAGCUAAUUUGUGUAAGCCGACGGACAAGCUUCGUUUGGAUGUGGCCAAACGGUCCUUCGCCUCAAAACGCAUCAAAGACGCCCGGCUAUUGCCAGGCGUC